AUAACAGACUAAGGAUACAUACUGUUGCCAUGCAUAGCAGAGCGUUGCCAUGGACGCAGCUGUGAUCACUCU
Etheostoma spectabile (orangethroat darter) is the source of this 72-nucleotide long non-coding RNA. RefSeq lists it as uncharacterized. NCBI's taxonomy places the organism in Eukaryota, Metazoa, Chordata, Actinopteri, Perciformes, Percidae. The record is from RefSeq and is a predicted model, not a curated record. The transcript is spliced from 3 exons.